UUUCUUUUUAUCUCACUUUGUAGACAUAUCAAACCCUUAAGCCCUAAAAACUCUCACAAAUAUCGACAUGCUCCUUUCUCCAGUGAAAGCUCUUCCUCAGGCAUAGGAAUGCACAAUCUGUUGUUUGUUUCUCCUUCCUCUUUUCUUCUUUGGUAUUUUACUGUAAAUCUGUUAUUCUUCUUAGGGAUUAUGCAUUUCCAUUUUUUUUUCUUUGUAUUAUAUCAAUUUUUGAUUUCUAGUUUGAAAAAAUGAGGGUUGAGUUCUUCGUGGGUUUACUAGUUUGAAAAAACAAAAGUUAGUUUGUGGAUUUUGAUUUCGUGUUAGAAACUUUCAGAUUUUCCAGAAAGAAACUUUCAAGUUGUGGUAACCGGAACUUUAUCUUUUUCGGCUCCUUCUUUUUCUUUGUCAUAGAAGUUAAAACAGAUAAUAUUUUCCUUGUUAAUUCUUUCCUUUUUGUUAUAAUCAUCUUAGAGAACAAGUCUAGUUUAAGCUUCGUGAAUUUUGGAGGUCACCAACUUCUUAAUCUAUAGAUUUAUAAUGUAAUCUACGUAUCAGGAUAUUACUGAGAAAGAUACAUUAUGUUACCUUUUUUAGUGAGGUUCUUUUUGGAAUGAAUUUUAAUUUUGUAGAUGACAUUUAGGUGAGUUUGAUCUUUCUGUUAUUGCAGUAUUGGGUAUCUCGAGGCUCGAGAAAUAACUUUUAGGUGGGGUUUGAUAUAAAAGAUUCUGUAGAAGGUUUUUAGGGCUUUUUGCUAUAUUAUCACGGCUGAUUUGAUUUUUAGGAAUUUUGUAGAAGAUUUUAUUUAUUUUUGAUGGUUUGGCUUUCUUUUUUUAUCAAUUUUGUUUUUGUUUUCUUGAUUUUGGGCGUGUGGGAUUUUUGUAGGCUUUGUAGGAAAGUGUGGGGUUGUAUAGUUAUUUUGUAGCUUAAUCUGAUAUUUAAAAUAAGAGUUGGUAUUCUUCUGCAAUCGAUCAUUUGUGGUGUCUUUGCAAUUUGCACACAGAUUUGAAGAAUUCUAUUACACUAUUAAACAAAUCUCACUAUCUGCAACCAAUGUUAUACCAACAAAAUAAUUCAAACACAAUAAUCCGACAAGAAAAAAUAUUCGACAGUCGUAGCUCAUGAUUUUCUCAUUUGAUGUGUUUGGAAGCUUCGAGUAUGUUCACCUGUAUGUUUCUAGGUACAUGUUUGUGAAAGGUAUUUUGCUACUCAGAUCUCUCCUCUCUAGAAAAAAAAUCUAGAGAUCUGACUCUCCUAAGUCUCUGUUUGUUUUCUGGCACUUGAUCUUCCAAUAUUCAUUUUAUUCCGUACAUUUAGUAGUACUAGUCUUUAUGUAUGUGCCUUGUACGUAAAUGUUUAGUCAGUUAUUUAUAGAUAAAAGAUCAAAAAUAAAAUUUAUUAUAAAUAUAUGAAAGAACAAGGAAUUAGAUUUAUGAAAAGUUACAUACAAGAAGGAAAAAUCAUUGAAAAGCAAUUGUCUUAGUAAAACUACAACAAUCUUUUAAAUUGAAAAUCAAUCAUAUUAUCAACAUAAUAGUUGAAUUCAAAACGAAUGAACAUCGUAUUAAAAGCAUGCUUUAAAUACAAAUCAUAUCAUCAAUGUUUGUCUUUUCUGUAAAGUCUUUCGAAACUUAUUCGUGAAUUUUAUUAUAAUUUUCCUACAUUAAACAAUUAAGUCAUUUGAAGAGGAUGCGCAUUCAGUAGUCGUGUGUUAGUGAGUCAUAUUGCUUUCAAAAAAUUAUGAGUAAGUUUUGUUACACAUGCCAAAUAAUAGAUUAAGAAGUAAAUGUAUUUAUGUUAGUUUCUUCGCAGUUCUUUCAUAAUAUUUCUUUUUUGAAUCACUCGAGUUUUAAUUAAUUUGCUCUUUAUGUUUGCGGCCGAGAUAAAUAUUUGAAUCUAAUCUUGUUUGUCCGGUUAUAAUCCAAGUAGGAUUGGUAUGACAGACAUUGGAAUUUUAUGUUGUCUGAGAAGAAGUAGGCUACUAUCACAAAGACGCAAAAAGAUAAAGACCCAAACGAAUUUGACCCAAAUUCAACUUAGUAGGCUUGGCGUAUGUGUAGUUUAAAUCGAAAAAGAAUUUUAGCCUUAGGUGAUUUAUAAUUAUAUCCUUAAAUUAUACAAAUAUUUAAGGUUAUAAUAAAGUCAAUCAAUAUAUCGGAGAUAUUUUAGUCGUUCAAUAUUUAGUACAAAUUAUUCGUGCUUUUAUAAUAAUAUAGAUACUUUUGCUUUGAGUUUUUCUGCUGAUGUAACCAAAUAGCCUAUGACACAUACGUAUAAAUAUAGACGAGCAUAGAUGCCUUUUCCUUCAAUUUUCGGAAUCUAAUCUUAUUCUUGAUUGUGGUAUGUAGUUCAAUUACCAUUCUUUUCAAAAAUACAAGUAAUAGUUGUGUGAGACUUGACUGCAGAAUUAGUGCUUACGUCAAAGAGAAACUACAACAUAGUGGUGUAGCUUGUUCGAGACUUUGCACUACUAACAUAAUGGGAUGGGACCUCCCUUGCAAGGUAUAUCUUUUUCCUUAUUGUCACUUUUGCAGCUCAUUCUAUGAACUGUUACCAAUCACUAUACGAGCUUUUGAGUCUAUAUCAUGUUUCACUAUGUUUACAUCACAUAAAGUCUAAAUAUAAUCAUUUGUGCAAUAGCUAAGUAUUGAAAGAACUUUGUGCUAUUGAAACACAAGAGUUGACUAAAAUAUUUACUGAUGUCUAAACUUAUAGUACAACAGCUACCUUUUGUGGUCGUUUAAAUGCACUUUUUGAUGAAGCUGAACUUUCAAUGUAUCUACAAUUAUCUAGGUUAGUUACGAUUGAUAUGUGUGUUUGCUAUAAGCUGCCAUAUGGAAGUAGCAUUUUUAGGGGACUACACUUUGUCUGAAUGGAUUACGAGAAAUUUAAGAGAUGCAAUUUUCAAAUUAGUCCUAUUGGAAUGUGAUCAUGCUUUUCAGUAUAAAGGGGCAUCAAUAUUAGAACAUAGAUGGUGCAUUUUCCAGUACAAAAUUAGAAAAGUUUCAGCUUUAAGCAUAACUUAGUUGGAAGUCCGACAAUCUCUUCAGCUCACUGUCAUAUUCACUUCAUGUGCUGCAAAUCCUCCUCUAUAGAUUAGCUAUUUCAUUGACUUACAGUCCUAGAGAUUUUCUGUUUCCCUACUUUCAUCUAUUUUUGCUAACUGGUGAUUAUAAAAAUUUAUAUGUUAAGCUAGAAUUUUUUGAAAUAGAUGUAGAUUGUUAUUCUUGAAAUUUUUAGUCUAUAGUCCUUUUUGUAAUGAAUAAACAUAUGGUCAGUUGUCAAGCCCUUCUCAUUUCAGUAAUAUAUAUUAUAUUUAUUUCAUUGACCUUCUCAUUUCAGUAAUAUAUAUUAUUCCAGUUCAGUAAUAUGUUAUUGUCUAAAUGCUAGAAUGAUGAUGCAAUUUGCAAUCUAGGUUUGUUUUGAUUGUAUUGAAGUAUUUGGUUUACUGCUUUUGGCUUGUGUAUUGUCGCACAUGAGUAGGGUCGCACAUGAGAGGGCUCUUUGUUUAAUUAGAUUUUGGAAGUUAACCGACUUAUUCUUGACAGAACUGUUUCUUGUAGGAAUUGGAAUUUUACAAUGCCAUCCAAGAAUUUACUCUGUUAAUGUAACGACCCGACCGGUCGUUUUGAAUAUUAUAACACCGUUCCCCCAUUUACUGUUCAAUUUAUGUCUUGUAAUUGAUUUAUGACUUAUCGGGUUAGUUGGUUCGGGUCCGGAAGAAAUUCGGAAUGAAAUGAGACACUUAGUCUUAUAAUUGAAAAUUUAAGUUAGAAAAGUGGACCGGAUAUGGACCUAUGUGUAAACGACCUCGGAUUUGAAUUUUGAUGAUUUCAAUAGUUCUGUAUGGUGAUUUUGGACUUAGGAGCGUGUUCGGAAAAUUUUUUGGAGGUCCGUAGAGGAAUUAGGCUUGAAAUGCCGAAAGUUGAAUUUUUGGGAAGUUUGACCGGGGGGGUUGACUUUUUGAUAUCAGGGUCGAAAUCUGAUUCUGAAAAUNNNNNNNNNNNNNNNNNNNNNNNNNNNNNNNNNNNNNNNNNNNNNNNNNNNNNNNNNNNNNNNNNNNNNNNNNNNNNNNNNNNNNNNNNNNNNNNNNNNNNNNNNNNNNNNNNNNNNNNNNNNNNNNNNNNNNNNNNNNNNNNNNNNNNNNNNNNNNNNNNNNNNNNNAUAUUAUAGCACGCGAGUUGUCCGUGCAAUACGUGAGUCGUCCGUGCCGAUUAUGGCGCUUGAGCUAUAGGAGCUCUUCCGGAGUCUGUACACACCCCCAGUGAGCGCGGGUACCCAUUGAGUGUGAGUGCUGAGGGCUGAGAGCCGAGUGGUUGAGUUGUGGUGAUGAGUUGAGUGAUUGUUGCCUGAGAGGUUGUGCUUGCUUUGCAUUUGUUGUUGCACUUGGUUGCUAUCUGUCAUUAUUGUGAAAUUUCUGAAAGAUUUUAUAUCCGGAUUACAUAAAAUUGAACUGUAUAAAAUUGAUUUGACUUAAACUGCCGGAUUUGAAAGCAUGUCUAUUCUUUACUGGAAAUACUGAAAGUGAACUAUAACUGUGUAGCUCGUCAUUAUCUUUAGUUCCUUAGUUAUUAUUAUUACUAGCUGAGUUGGUUGUACUCAUACUACACGUUGCACUUCGUGUGCAGAUUCAGGUGUUCCCGGAUAUUGCGGGUGCUGAUCAUUUUGCGCAAUUGAUUUUCAGGAGAUUUUGAGGUAGCUGUCGUGUUCCGCAGACCUUAUCUCUCCUUCUCUAUCUCCUUGUUUACUGUAUUUGGUCUCAGACUAUUAUAGAUCGUAUUUUCCAGACUUGUACUCAGUGACACCAGAUUUUGGGGAGUGUUCAUGUCAGUAUUUGUGAGAUUUUGUAUUGUAUUAAAUUAUUGUAUUUUCAAACUUAAGAGAAAUUGUGGUUUAUCGAGAUUAUCGGCUUGUCUAGUAUCGAGAUAGGCGUCAUCACGACAAGUUGGAAUUUUGGGUCAUGACAGUUAAGUUUGAUUCAAAGUUCAUGUCUUAGAAAUGUUUCUCUUCUUUUUUUUGCAGUUUGGGUUUUAUAAGAAAGUGUGAAUUGGUUGGUUCUCUGAAUUUGCUUAUAGUUCUUACAUAUUUAUGGAGUUGCUAUGGAAGUUCGGUGGAAGUCAGUUGGUUUUUGUUGAAUAAGAGGAAUUUGUAAGUUCUCUCCAGGAAAAAUGUUUUGCAAUUAGGUCUCCAAAGAUGUUUUCCAUUUUUUUGCAGUCAUUAAUAUUAGUGAAAUAGAAGAAUAUGUGGUUUUAAAAUGUUAUUAGCAGUUUGUUUUCUAAGUAGAGUCUAACAACAUGGUAUCAAUGCCAGUAAAUUAGUAACUCUAAUUAAGUACAUUAGCUUGUAAGUCAUCUUUAAUGAUUUCAACUAUAAUCUUUAUAAGGCAUAGACACCACUAGUGACAAUUGCAACACCAAAACCAACAAAAUCACAUAAUCUGCAUAUAGGAAACCAAACAAUUUAAGGUUAACCCAGUGAAACUAUUUAACCAAACCUUUGGCCAGUUGAAAGUUUCUUCUAUGGUCAGGGCAGGCAUCUUUGAAGGCCAACCAGUUGAAGUAACAAACUUUGGGUGACAGUUUUGUCUUCCAUACUAGCUAGUUUCUAAGGCCAUAGAUCAAUCAACAUAUUGUUGGAGCACAUUUUAGCAUACCCUGCCUUCAUAGAGUAAGUUCCAUAUUAAUUAGUUGGUUGAAUGCCACGUGAUGUAGAAGAGUUUGUUGAUUGUUCAUUAUUUUUAAUUCAUGGUCUUACUUGAUUGCUGGCUUCUUCUAUGUUACAGAGUUGUAUGUGAUGAUGAAGAGUUUCAUUUGAUUGUUGCCGAAAAUUUUAAGAAUUUGGAGAGUUGAAAAUUUUUUGAGUUAUCAAAUUGGUUAUUCAAUUAUUUUGUGAUUCAAUUAUUUAAAAAAAUUUGUUUAAUUAUUUCUGAUUGUCUUUUGUAGGUGCAACGAUUGUGGAUGAAAACAGUGACGAAGACCUUACUUGAGUGUUGUUGAUCGUUGUUGGACUUUCUAUUAUCAUGUUCAAGGAUAUUUUAGUUUAGAACUUUUUGGAUGCAAACUCAUCUAUUUUGACUUUUGAAUUGUUGAUCAAACAAUGUAUUCAUAUUUUGUUAUUGUAUAUGGAUAAUGCUAGUUGGAUAUUUUAAUUUGGCCAAAUACAUCGGCAGUCCCUUU
RNAcentral lists this long non-coding RNA (6173 nucleotides) under Nicotiana tabacum (common tobacco). Its description in RNAcentral is "long non-coding RNA (NTAB_LNC000949)". Lineage: Eukaryota; Viridiplantae; Streptophyta; Magnoliopsida; Solanales; Solanaceae. The record is from RNAcentral.